AAGUAAGGUAGAAAGCAGAGUGCUUUCUACAAGCCAAGAAGUGGCCCCCCAACAGAUACCAAGCUCUGGACCUCCUGGUGCCUUGAUUUUGGACUUCCCAGCCUUUUUCAGACCUGUGAGAAAGGUCCGCCGCAUCUUGGAAGGAAACUUCAAAGCUCAUUUAAAGUCAGCCUCUCACAUAGCCCUGCUGGUCUAACUUUCUUCUGAAUGUGAUUUCAGAAGUAAAACCAGGCCAGGGGCUGGGACUCAGGACAGUGCUAGGACUGCUUUUUUCUAUAUCAGACACGUGGGCUCCUGCUGUGUCUUCCUGGAAAGCAGAGGCCAAGGAUGGAGCAGACCAAGAGGAUGCCAGGAAAAAUCACAAAGAAGCCCAGAAAGCACAGCUGGAAGCCAAGAACCCUAUUUUUGGUUUGUGUGGGUGGAAGGUGAGGGACAACAUAUAGUGACCAACAGGAUUCUUCAUUUGAAAGAGAAUGGAGUACAUCAGACCUGUGUAUUUAGGUGAAGUAUGAUAAACAUCAUCAUACUUCAAAGAUUAUGAACAUCAAAGAUUAUGGAAAGGAACAUGACUGCUU
RNAcentral lists this long non-coding RNA (575 nucleotides) under Homo sapiens (human). RNAcentral describes it as "novel transcript". The record is from RNAcentral. Lineage: Eukaryota; Metazoa; Chordata; Mammalia; Primates; Hominidae.